UACGUAGGGUGCAAGCGUUGUUCGGAAUUACUGGGCGUAAAGGGCGCGUAGGCGGCCUUCUAAGUCGAACGUGAAAUCCCUGGGCUCAACCCAGGAACUGCGUCCGAUACUGGUUGGCUUGAAUCCGGGAGAGGGACGUGGAAUUCCAGGUGUAGCGGUGAAAUGCGUAGAUAUCUGGAGGAACACCGGUGGCGAAGGCGACGUCCUGGACCGGCAUUGACGCUGAGGCGCGAAAGCCAGGGGAGCAAACGGG
This 253-nucleotide ribosomal RNA is filed under the name uncultured bacterium. RNAcentral describes it as "partial 16S ribosomal RNA". It matches the Rfam family "Bacterial small subunit ribosomal RNA", at positions 524 to 776 of the family's 1533-position model. The record is from RNAcentral.